GGGACAGGGCUGGCACAUUGCACUUCCCGGUGGCAGGAGUUACUUCCUGACUGCGGCAAUACCCCGAGGACAAACUUCACGAAACCAAAGGAAAGAGAUCUGGAAAAUGGCAUUCUUUGAGCUUGUGAGUGAGAUGGAUGGAAGCCUCGAGGCUAAAGCCAAGGAGUUCUACUGUAAAGGAACCAACUGUGGCAUAAUAUUCGACAUUGACAAGGGCAAAAAACUUGCGGUCCUGGAGCAGGCCUUUGAGGCAAGUGGAAAUGAAGGCAUGAUGUUGUUAUAAUCUCACCUUCACAGGUUCAACUUUGUCUUCCAGAACAUCUCACUGGAUGAUCUCAGAGGCA
This is a long non-coding RNA of Dunckerocampus dactyliophorus (ringed pipefish), 344 nucleotides long. RefSeq lists it as uncharacterized. NCBI's taxonomy places the organism in Eukaryota, Metazoa, Chordata, Actinopteri, Syngnathiformes, Syngnathidae. The record is from RefSeq and is a predicted model, not a curated record. The transcript is spliced from 4 exons.